RNAcentral lists this ribosomal RNA (1428 nucleotides) under metagenome. RNAcentral's name for it is "bacterial SSU rRNA". It matches the Rfam family "Bacterial small subunit ribosomal RNA". The record is from RNAcentral.
GGGGGCAACCCUGGCGACGAGUGGCGAACGGGUGAGUAAUACAUCGGAACGUGUCCUGAGGUGGGGGAUAACCUGGCGAAAGCCAAGCUAAUACCGCAUACGCUCGGGAGAGGAAAGCGGGGGAUCGGUAACGACCUCGCGUCGCAGGAGCGGCCGAUGUCCGAUUAGCUAGUUGGUGGGGUAAAGGCUUACCAAUGCGACGAUCGGUAGCUGGUCUGAGAGGAUGAUCAGCCACACUGGGACUGAGACACGGCCCAGACUCCUACGGGAGGCAGCAGUGGGGAAUUUUGGACAAUGGGGGCAACCCUGAUCCAGCCAUGCCGCGUGAGUGAAGAAGGCCUUCGGGUUGUAAAGCUCUUUCGGUGGGAACGAAACGGUUACCACUAACACUGGUGACUACUGACGGUACUCACAGAAGAAGCACCGGCUAACUACGUGCCAGCAGCCGCGGUAAUACGUAGGGUGCGAGCGUUAAUCGGAAUUACUGGGCGUAAAGCGUGCGCAGGCGGUGGCUCAAGCCAGGCGUGAAAUCCCCGGGCUUAACCUGGGAAUGGCGUUUUGGACUGGGUCGCUAGAGUGUGGCAGAGGGAGGUGGAAUUCCACGUGUAGCAGUGAAAUGCGUAGAGAUGUGGAGGAACACCGAUGGCGAAGGCAGCCUCCUGGGCCAGCACUGACGCUCAUGCACGAAAGCGUGGGAGCAAACAGGAUUAGAUACCCUGGUAGUCCACGCCCUAAACGAUGUCAACUGGUUGUUGGGGAAGGAAACUUCCUUAGUAACGAAGCUAACGCGUGAAGUUGACCGCCUGGGGAGUACGGCCGCAAGGUUAAAACUCAAAGGAAUUGACGGGGACCCGCACAAGCGGUGGAUGAUGUGGAUUAAUUCGAUCAACGCGAAAAACCUUACCUACCCUUGGCAUGCCAGGGAGCUUGCUGAGAGGCAAGUGUUCCCGAAAGGGAGCCUGGACACAGGUGCUGCAUGGCUGUCGUCAGCUCGUGUCGUGAGAUGUUGGGUUAAGUCCCGCAACGAGCGCAACCCUUGUCACUAAUUGCCAGCAUUGAGUUGGGCACUUUAGUGAGACUGCCGGUGACAAACCGGAGGAAGGUGGGGAUGACGUCAAGUCCUCAUGGCCCUUAUGGGUAGGGCUUCACACGUCAUACAAUGGCGCAUACAGAGGGUUGCCAACCCGCGAGGGGGAGCCAAUCCCAGAAAGUGCGUCGUAGUCCGGAUUGGAGUCUGCAACUCGACUCCAUGAAGUCGGAAUCGCUAGUAAUCGCGGAUCAGCAUGUCGCGGUGAAUACGUUCCCGGGUCUUGUACACACCGCCCGUCACACCAUGGGAGUGGGGUUCACCAGAAGCCGGUUGCCUAACCGCAAGGGGGGCGCUGACCACGGUGAGCUUCAUGACUGGGGUGAAGUCGUAACAAGGUA